GAUGAAGAACGUAGCGAAAUGCGAUACGUAAUGUGAAUUGCAGAAUUCAGUGAAUCAUCGAAUCUUUGAACGCAUAUUGCGCUCUCUGGUAUUCCGGAGAGCAUGCUUGUUUGAGUAUCAGUAAACACCUCAAGCCAAGAGAUAUUAUUAAUAUCUCGAGACUUGGAAUUGAGUGAUCCUAACAAAGUCGUCUUUUUUGACGAUUGAGGCAGGUCACUUGAAAUUCAGGUGCAGCUGAACUUUUCUUCUGAGCUAAAAGCAUUAUUUUAUUUAGUCUUUAUUGACUAUUACUUUUUGCUGCAGCUAACAUAAAGGAAGAAGAGCUUCUUGAAUGCUGACUGAUGCAGGAAUUUAUCAGUUUUGUGACAAAGACUGUUAGACUCGAUCUCAAAUCAAGUAAGACUACCCGCUGAACUUAAGCAUAUCAAUAAGCGGAGGA
Molecule: unclassified non-coding RNA, 439 nt
Filed under: soil metagenome
Description: partial contains 5.8S ribosomal RNA, internal transcribed spacer 2, and large subunit ribosomal RNA
Rfam family: 5.8S ribosomal RNA (bases 1-120)
Source: RNAcentral